UACAGAGGGUGCGAGCGUUAAUCGGAAUUACUGGGCGUAAAGGGCGCGUAGGUGGUUUAUUAAGUGAGAUGUGAAAUCCCUGGGCUUAACCUAGGAAUGGCAUCUUAAACUGGUGGACUGGAGUACGGUAGAGGGUAGUGGAAUUUCCGGUGUAGCGGUGAAAUGCGUAGAGAUCGGAAGGAACACCAGUGGCGAAGGCGGCUACCUGGACUGAUACUGACACUGAGGCGCGAGAGCGUGGGGAGCAAACAGG
This 253-nucleotide ribosomal RNA is filed under the name uncultured bacterium. RNAcentral's name for it is "partial 16S ribosomal RNA". It matches the Rfam family "Bacterial small subunit ribosomal RNA", at positions 524 to 776 of the family's 1533-position model. The record is from RNAcentral.